Molecule: ribosomal RNA, 492 nt
Filed under: uncultured bacterium
Lineage: Bacteria
Description: partial 16S ribosomal RNA
Rfam family: Bacterial small subunit ribosomal RNA
Source: RNAcentral
AGUGAACGCUGGCGGUAGGCCUAACACAUGCAAGUCGAACGGCAGCACAGUAAGGGCUUGCUCUUACGGGUGGCGAGUGGCGGACGGGUGAGGAAUACAUCGGAAUCUACUUUUUCGUGGGGGAUAACGUAGGGAAACUUACGCUAAUACCGCAUACGACCUACGGGUGAAAGCAGGGGAUCUUCGGACCUUGCGCGAUUGAAUGAGCCGAUGUCGGAUUAGCUAGUUGGCGGGGUAAAGGCCCACCAAGGCGACGAUCCGUAGCUGGUCUGAGAGGAUGAUCAGCCACACUGGAACUGAGACACGGUCCAGACUCCUACGGGAGGCAGCAGUGGGGAAUAUUGGACAAUGGGCGCAAGCCUGAUCCAGCCAUACCGCGUGGGUGAAGAAGGCCUUCGGGUUGUAAAGCCCUUUUGUUGGGAAAGAAAAGCAGCAGGUUAAUACCCCGCUGUUCUGACGUUACCCAAAGAAUAAGCACCGGCUAACUUCGUG